This 404-nucleotide ribosomal RNA is filed under the name Actinomycetes bacterium. RNAcentral's name for it is "Actinobacteria bacterium partial 16S ribosomal RNA". It matches the Rfam family "Bacterial small subunit ribosomal RNA", at positions 355 to 776 of the family's 1533-position model. Lineage: Bacteria; Bacillati; Actinomycetota; Actinomycetes. The record is from RNAcentral.
UGGGGAAUAUUUGACAAUGGGCGCAAGCCUGAUCCAGCCAUGCCGCGUGAGUGAUGAAGGCCCUAGGGUUGUAAAGCUCUUUCACCGGUGAAGAUAAUGACGGUAACCGGAGAAGAAGCCCCGGCUAACUUCGUGCCAGCAGCCGCGGUAAUACGAAGGGGGCUAGCGUUGUUCGGAUUUACUGGGCGUAAAGCGCACGUAGGCGGACUUUUAAGUCAGGGGUGAAAUCCCGGGGCUCAACCCCGGAACUGCCUUUGAUACUGGAAGUCUUGAGUAUGGUAGAGGUGAGUGGAAUUCGGAGUGUAGGGGUGAAAGUCGUAGAUAGUCGGAGGAACACCAGUGGCGAAGGCGGCUCACUGGACCAUUACUGACGCUGAGGAGCGAAAGCGUGGGGAGCAAACAGG